Molecule: unclassified non-coding RNA, 588 nt
Filed under: uncultured Bartonella sp.
Lineage: Bacteria; Pseudomonadati; Pseudomonadota; Alphaproteobacteria; Hyphomicrobiales; Bartonellaceae
Description: partial 16S-23S ribosomal RNA intergenic spacer
Rfam family: tRNA (bases 91-164)
Source: RNAcentral
UCCACCGUGGGCUUUGAAAAACGCUUUCCUUGAUAAAAUUUAAGCGUUUUAUAAGAGGAUGCCGGGGAAGGUUUUCCGGUUUAUCCCGGAGGGCUUGUAGCUCAGUUGGUUAGAGCGCGCGCUUGAUAAGCGUGAGGUCGGAGGUUCAAGUCCUCCCAGGCCCACCAGUUUAUCCAUUACUUUCAUAAGUGCUUUUAAAAAAUAAGUACUUCUAAAAAGAUUGCUUCUAAAAAGAUUGCUUCUAAAAAGAUUGCUUCUAAAAAGCUUAUCAAAAUUGGCAGGCUUAUUGCUUUUGUGUGAGUAAUCCAAAGUUAAAGCAAAUUAAUGGCAAAAAAACAGUUCAAAUGCUAAAUACUAAGGAGUCAAAAUUCCUUGCAAAGUGAUUUUUACAGCGUCACAUUUGGUUGAUAUAAAUUCCAAAUGCUCAUAGACGUCAAUGCCUAUAUGAAACUAUCGGUUCAAUCAUAUCGCUUUGAGUUAUAUAGAUUUUGUAAUCCCUCUUUUGAUCGUUUUAAACGCUUUAUCCUGAUUUAGGGGCCGUAGCUCAGCUGGGAGAGCACCUGCUUUGCAAGCAGGGGGUCGUCGGUU